Molecule: ribosomal RNA, 488 nt
Filed under: Magallana ariakensis (Suminoe oyster)
Lineage: Eukaryota; Metazoa; Mollusca; Bivalvia; Ostreida; Ostreidae
Description: partial 16S ribosomal RNA
Rfam family: Bacterial large subunit ribosomal RNA
Source: RNAcentral
CACUAGAAGAGAAAGACUUUUAGCAAUACCUGCCCAGUGCGAAAUAUUACUGUAAACGGCCGCCCUAGCGUGAGGGUGCUAAGGUAGCGAAAUUCCUUGCCUUUUGAUUGUAGGCCUGCAUGAAUGGUUUAACGAGGGUUUAACUGUCUCUUGAUUUAAAAUUGAAAUUGUACUGAAGGUGAAGAUACCUUCAUUAAAAAGUCAGACAAAAAGACCCCGUGCAACUUUGAAAAUUAGCUUUAUUCAGAAGUGAAAGAUUUUUAGGUGGGGCGCCUAGAAAGUAAAUCUAACCUUUCUGAACAUUUAGUUCUUUCCGGACUUGACCCGAUUAUAUUCGAUCAUAGGAGAAGUUACGCCGGGGAUAACAGGCUAAUCCUUUAGUAGAGCUCGUAUUGGCUAAAGGGAUUGGCACCUCGAUGUUGAAUCAGGGAUGAUAGCUUCAAGGCGUAGAGGCUUUGAGAGUAGGUCUGUUCGACCUUUAAUACCCU